Molecule: ribosomal RNA, 393 nt
Filed under: uncultured bacterium
Lineage: Bacteria
Description: partial 16S ribosomal RNA
Rfam family: Bacterial small subunit ribosomal RNA
Source: RNAcentral
AUACGGAGGAUCCGAGCGUUAUCCGGAUUUAUUGGGUUUAAAGGGUGCGCAGGCGGGAGAUUAAGUCGGCGGUGAAAUUUUUCAGCUCAACUGUAAAUGUGCCUUCGAUACUGGUUUCCUUGAGGGUGGAUGAAGUAGGCGGAAUUUGUGGUGUAGCGGUGAAAUGCUUAGAUAUCACGAGGAACUCCGAUUGCGCAGGCAGCUUACUAAACCACUACUGACGCUCAGGCACGAAGGCGUGGGGAUCAAACAGGAUUAGAUACCCUGGUAGUCCACGCAGUAAACGAUGAUUACUGGCUGUUUGCGAUACAAUGUAAGCGGCUGAGCGAAAGCGUUAAGUAAUCCACCUGGGGAGUACGUUCGCAAGAAUGAAACUCAAAGGAAUUGACGGGG